Molecule: long non-coding RNA, 1614 nt
Filed under: Homo sapiens (human)
Lineage: Eukaryota; Metazoa; Chordata; Mammalia; Primates; Hominidae
Description: HSALNT0328923
Source: RNAcentral
AGUAUACAAUUUAUUUCUCCAUGGGCAACAAGACAUGCCAGCAACUGCACGGCUACUUCUCCAUUUAGCCAGACAGAGAAUAAAGGGUCCCUGUAUUCAUGCCUUCCUGGAAAUCUCAGUGCAAGGCCCUAUCAGGAGGUUUCCUGGAGCAGCUAAGGGAACAGCUAGACCACCCAGGAAGAAAUGACAGAAGCCUACCUGACUUCCAAUCUGCUUGCUUCAUGGUGUAAUGGGGGCCUAGACAGAAGCACCCCAAGGACACUUACAACAACUGUUCUGCCAGCUCUAGUCCAUUGGAGAAGAUGUGCCAACAUACCUUCUCACCAUCCCUAGAGCCCAACCUUGCUAUGGAAAGGUCAAACCCUUACCAUUGGCCCUGCCAAGGAUCCCCAGACAGAGAAGCACAAUGGAGGCCAUAAAUUAUGGCUUCUUAUCAUGGCCUCCACAUAACUUAAACUCUGGAUGGUGAAUGAAAUCUGGGGCCAAGUCUUAAAGGGUCAGGGUAGCCAAUGAGCAUAACUCAAUAUUUGUGUUUCUAAGAGAAAACCACAGAACCUCCAUAUCCAUGGCAAACUGGCCAGCCACAGGCUGGAUCCAGUGUGCAGUAGUGUUUUGUGUACACCAUUCACUAUUUGUCUACUUGGGUUAAAAAUGUUUUAUAUUAGUUAGCAAUGUUUAAACAUUGGGAGAAUUAAAGGGAAAUGAAAACGUACUUCCCACAAAUACUUGCACAUAAAUAUUCACAGCAGCAUUGUUUAUAAUUGCCCAAAACUAGAAACAACCCAAAUAUCCAUCAACUGAUGAAUGAUAAACAAGUUGUGGUAUAUUCAUCCAAUAAAACAAUAUUCAGCAAUAAAAAUAAACAAAUCAGGCACUUAAUAUAAUUGAAUAUCAAGGUCAUUAUGUUGAGUGAAAGAGGCCAGAAAAUAAAAGUAUACACUAUUUGAUUCCAUUUAUAUAAUAUUCUAGAAAAUGAAAACCAGUCUAUACUUACAGAAAACAAGGUGGUAGCUUACAGAGAUGGGGUAGAGGGAGGGAGAGAUGACAGAGAGGCAUAAAAAAACUUUCCGGACAAUGAAAAUGUUCUGUAUUUUAAUUGUGGUGAUGGUUUCAUGGAUGUACAAGUUCAUCAAAUCUCAUCAAGUUAAAUAUAUGCAUUUAUUUUAUAUUAAGUGUACCUCAAUAAAGCAGAAAAAUUUAAAAUUGGUAAUAUUUAUAUACAAAUUGAGAUAUCUAUAUUUCUUGAAAAUCAAAAUGUCUGACAUCAUUUGGUCUACAUAUUUAUCUGCCAAAAAUACAGGAGAUAGACAGUAGCUGUCCUUUAGAAGGGGCAUACCCUUUCGAGUUUGCAACAGGCCUUCAUACUUCCUGCUGCUUACCCAGCAUUCAUUACAUGUUUAUUGUCAUUUAUUUAAGUUACUUAUUGUGAACCUAAUGCAUGUAUGGCCUCAUUCUAGGUACUGGAGACUAAACAUGCAAACACACCUAACUGGCAUGGUUUCCAUUUGCCUAAUUGUCACGGGGUACCAUGAAGUUUACAUUUUAGUGAGAUUGGAGAAAGAUAGACAUUUAGAGUUAAUAAGUUGGAUAAAUAGUAUAUUAGGUGGAAAGAAG